UUUGCCCCUCCCCAAGUCGCGCAUGCGCGCGCUCUCGCUCGAACUAAAGAAAUCAGCUGAAAAAUAAAUCAAGUCCAGGAAGAGAAGGUAAGACAGGGCUGCCGCUGGACCCACCAACCCAAUGGGCCUGCCGGGGGUCAGGAAUCUGGGACAGGCCCCCCAGUGAGUCAAUACCAAUUAUACUUGGAAGCCUUUUACGUUUCGGUCCCUCCCUGGACCUUCCCGCCUAGCCCCGGACACCCAGCUGCCCCCUGGGCCUCACUCGGGGGUGCUACAACGGCCACUGGGGCCAGUCACCACCAUUCUCGCUUUCCCGCCCCACACAAGGAAAGAAACCACUGCCCCACCCACUUGUGUGGCCACGUGACUUGCUUUGGCCAAUGAAAUGUGAGCAGCUGGCUAUGACACGUGUCACUUCCGGGCGGAAGCUUUACAAGCCGGUGCGCCGCGCUGAUUUCUUUUCCUUCUGCUACAGCAACCUGCAGGGUGCCGUGCGGUGGCCGAGUGGGAAGGUCUCUCACCAGACUGCCAUUCAGGUGGCAGCUAGGGCUGUGGUCUCAUCUGAAGGCUCCAUCAGACGCAAGCUGGGGAGGCAGAGAGUGGACGGACAGAGGAUCCGAAGGA
This is a long non-coding RNA of Acinonyx jubatus (cheetah), 624 nucleotides long. RefSeq lists it as uncharacterized. The record is from RefSeq and is a predicted model, not a curated record. The transcript has 3 exons. Lineage: Eukaryota; Metazoa; Chordata; Mammalia; Carnivora; Felidae.